GUCUACUCUGGGAUUCUCUUCCUGGCUACUGCCACCUACUGGAUACUCAUCGCAUAGCUCCACACACAGCAAGAUUAAUGAGGAUUAUUAUUUCUGGAGAACAGACCAGGCAUGAGCAGCAGACUCCCUGUCUCUAGGCUCCCUUUUCAUACCACUCACCUCAUAAAUCAG
This is a long non-coding RNA of Myxocyprinus asiaticus (Chinese sucker), 171 nucleotides long. RefSeq lists it as uncharacterized. The record is from RefSeq and is a predicted model, not a curated record. The transcript is spliced from 3 exons. NCBI's taxonomy places the organism in Eukaryota, Metazoa, Chordata, Actinopteri, Cypriniformes, Catostomidae.